Molecule: ribosomal RNA, 253 nt
Filed under: uncultured bacterium
Lineage: Bacteria
Description: partial 16S ribosomal RNA
Rfam family: Bacterial small subunit ribosomal RNA
Source: RNAcentral
UACAGAGGGUGCGAGCGUUAAUCGGAAUUACUGGGCGUAAAGCGCACGUAGGUGGCGACGUAAGUCGGGUGUGAAAGCCCCGGGCUCAACCUGGGAAUUGCAUUCGAGACUGCAUUGCUGGAGUACGGAAGAGGAGGGCGGAAUUCCCGGUGUAGCGGUGAAAUGCGUAGAUAUCGGGAGGAACAUCAGUGGCGAAGGCGGCCCUCUGGUCCAGUACUGACGCUGAGACGCGAAAGCGUGGGGAGCAAACAGG